AUCUCCAUGGUAACACACAUAGACACACAUAGACCCCAUCAUUGACCACUGUAAUAGACAGGUUUGUUAGGUUUUGAAUAAUACAAUUAUUUGAACUUCUUUGCAGUGAAGAGCUAUACAGUGUUAUCUUUAUUCAAAAAAGUUGUCUUUCAAGCCAUUUUUAUAUAAAAAUAUGAGCAGUUCAACUUCGACAAGCCAUUCAUCUGAUCGCCAGCGUAACUAUAAUCCACAACUUGGCAAAGGAUUUACUGGAGCAGCUCGAAACUCUAAUACCCGGGAACAUGCAAUGACGCCAAAGAAACCCACUGACCAACCCCCUUCUCCACCAAACGAUCCAGCUACUCAGAAGUUCUACUCUCCCACUCAAACUCCUCCAAAUUAGUCUCGUCAAGACCAAGAAAUCGUCAAGACCAAGAAAGAGCAAAAUAUUUUGUACUGGAGAGGGGAUACUUGUUCUUGUGUCAUGUACUGCAUGUGCAGUUUUUAUAUAUAGUGUGUAUAGUGUGUGAUGAUGAGAAUUUAGGAACACAAUGCGUUCACUUCGUUA
This is a long non-coding RNA of Halichondria panicea, 547 nucleotides long. RefSeq lists it as uncharacterized. The record is from RefSeq and is a predicted model, not a curated record. NCBI's taxonomy places the organism in Eukaryota, Metazoa, Porifera, Demospongiae, Suberitida, Halichondriidae. The transcript has 2 exons.